CUCAAAAGGCGAUGCUUCCUGAGAACAGCUGGAUCUUGAGUCUAUUUCAGACAACAUCCUCAAGCCCUGGGACCCUGGGAGCAUCUCCUUACUUUUUCUAAUAUUUGUGAGCCAUUUCCCCACCCCCUGCUUCUUUCUGCAUGCAUUUGCAUCAUCCAUCUCUGACUUCUUUCUAGGAGGUAGAGGCCUGCUGUUCACAGUAGAAUUUCCCUGUGAUUGGCCACCAUCAGCGCCCACACGCCUACAGGGUCCCGAGGAAGAGCCCAUGUGGACACCUCAGCCCUUACACUGGACCACUUUUGGUGGUCUCACCAGCCAGCCAUCAUCAGGGAGGAGUCCAUUCUCAGGCCAGGCCCUGCCGUCACCCCACAGCAGCCCUGCCAUGGCCCUUCUCUCCUCAAUGGCCUUCGAGGGAAAAGGAAGAAAUGUGUCUUGGCUGGAGGCCCACGUUUCGUUCCAGCACAUCCUUUUUACCAAAAGAGCCGUCCCUGGAGCUGCCAACAGUGUUUACAAGAAAACCAUCCAACAAUAGUUUGGAUCUGGGAGCAUGGCCUGACCAUAGACGUGGCCUUCCCCACCCUGAGAACCAACCAUCAGGAAGCCUGGCACAUGAUACGAAAAGGCAGAGAUGCAGAAACAGACGCUGUGCAUGUCCCUGCAAGACUGAUACAAGAUGACUGAGAAAUGUCAUCUGAGAGAAGGGGAAGAACCAGCCCUACAUUAAAAAGGUAAAGAAAUAGAAGAAAAAAAAUCAUGAAGUCAGUGUGUAAUUAUAGUUGAUGCAUAUAUUGUAUUUUAUAAUGCCACCUGACCUGCCUCUUGAGAAAUCUGUAUGCAGGUCAGAAAGCAACAGUUAGAAAUGGACGUGGAACAACAGACUGGUUCCAAUAGGAAAAGCCGUACGUCAAGGCUGUAUAUUGUCACCCUGCUUAUUUAACUUGUAUGCAGAGUACACCAGGAGAAACGCUGGGCUGGAUGAAGCACAAGCUGAAAUCAAGAUUGCCAGGAGAAAUAUCAAUAACCUCAGAU
Molecule: long non-coding RNA, 1029 nt
Filed under: Bos indicus x Bos taurus (hybrid cattle)
Lineage: Eukaryota; Metazoa; Chordata; Mammalia; Artiodactyla; Bovidae
Description: lncRNA (ENSBIXG00005004482.1)
Source: RNAcentral